GACGAACGUUGGCGGCGUGCUUAAUACAUGCAAGUCAACUGAAGCAGUGGUAGCAAUAUCGCUGUGGAGGUGGCGCACGGGUGAGUAACACGUAGGUAAUCUGCCUUCAGGUCUGGCAUAGCUCCGGGAAACCGGGGCUAAUAGCAGAUGAUGCAGCGGCUCGACAUCGAGACAGUUGUUAAAGCUAUGGCGCCUGAAGAUGAGCCUGCGUCUGAUUAGCUAGUUGGCGGGGUAACGGCCCACCAAGGCAACGAUCAGUAGCUGGUCUGAGAGGAUGAUCAGCCACACUGGAACUGAGACACGGUCCAGACUCCUACGGGAGGCAGCAGUAAGGAAUAUUGCUCAAUGGGAGAAAUCCUGAAGCAGCAACGCCGCGUGAGGGACGAAGGGCUUUUGCUUGUAAACCUCUGUAGUGAGAGAAAAAAAUCCCAAUCUUUGGGACAUGAUGGUAUCUCAAAAGUAAGCCCCGGCUAACUACGUG
This 481-nucleotide ribosomal RNA is filed under the name uncultured bacterium. RNAcentral describes it as "partial 16S ribosomal RNA". It matches the Rfam family "Bacterial small subunit ribosomal RNA", at positions 28 to 507 of the family's 1533-position model. The record is from RNAcentral.